Long non-coding RNA from Schistocerca gregaria, 760 nucleotides. RefSeq lists it as uncharacterized. Lineage: Eukaryota; Metazoa; Arthropoda; Insecta; Orthoptera; Acrididae. The record is from RefSeq and is a predicted model, not a curated record. The transcript has 3 exons.
AGAAUAUAAGCUCGCAUCUUGGACCAUGCGUUUAUUGGAAUCUGCUGAAGUGACUUUUAUAUGUUUUUUACACUGAAAAUAGAGUAUCAUGUAAAUUAAAGUGGUGCCUGUAAAGUCAGACUCAUACUACAUUUUGGAAAGUAUCUGUGAUAAUUCGGUUACAGAAGUAAGUACAACUGUUUCUCGUCCCUACUAAUAGGUUCCCUAAGGAUGAAAACCGAAGACAGCUUUGGAUACAGGCCCUGACGCAGAAAAACUUUAAGCCAUCUGCACAUACGCGCCUUUGCUCGAAGCACUCCGAGGAGAAAUGUUUUGAUAGGGCUAAGACUGGAGGGAAUGGGCUAAGAAGUGAUGCUAUCACGACACUUCUCGAUUUUCCGGAGCAUAUGAAAUCGAAGAGGCCUAAGCUCCGUAAAUCACACAGUAGAACGCGUUCGUUCGUUAGAUGAUGCCUCAGUCUUCUGAAAUCUGUGCUUGCAAUGCCUUGACGUUAUGCGAUAUGGAAACGAACACCCCGAAAAACAAAAGUUUCAGGUGUAUUGGGGACUUUUCGAAUAGCGAUUUGUGUACUCCUGGCAUAGCAGAAAAAGUAACAGAUGUGGCAAGACGGCAGGUUAGCAUCAAAGCCAGGAAGUUCAAGAAUUUCCAGCGGUCAUCUCGUGGGAUGAAGAAGAAAGUCUUGUCUUUGAAAUCUUUGAUAAAUAAUCUUGAAAAUAGUCGUGUUAUAAAUGAAUCAUGAAUCCCUGGCUAAUUUACUAAA